Molecule: ribosomal RNA, 667 nt
Filed under: Bacillus sp. FJAT-4413
Lineage: Bacteria; Bacillati; Bacillota; Bacilli; Caryophanales; Bacillaceae
Description: bacterial SSU rRNA
Rfam family: Bacterial small subunit ribosomal RNA
Source: RNAcentral
UUGAGAGCUUGCUCUCAUGAAGUUAGCGGCGGACGGGUGAGUAACACGUGGGUAACCUGCCCAUAAGACUGGGAUAACUCCGGGAAACCGGGGCUAAUACCGGAUAACAUUUUGAACUGCAUGGUUCGAAAUUGAAAGGCGGCUUCGGCUGUCACUUAUGGAUGGACCCGCGUCGCAUUAGCUAGUUGGUGAGGUAACGGCUCACCAAGGCAACGAUGCGUAGCCGACCUGAGAGGGUGAUCGGCCACACUGGGACUGAGACACGGCCCAGACUCCUACGGGAGGCAGCAGUAGGGAAUCUUCCGCAAUGGACGAAAGUCUGACGGAGCAACGCCGCGUGAGUGAUGAAGGCUUUCGGGUCGUAAAACUCUGUUGUUAGGGAAGAACAAGUGCUAGUUGAAUAAGCUGGCACCUUGACGGUACCUAACCAGAAAGCCACGGCUAACUACGUGCCAGCAGCCGCGGUAAUACGUAGGUGGCAAGCGUUAUCCGGAAUUAUUGGGCGUAAAGCGCGCGCAGGUGGUUUCUUAAGUCUGAUGUGAAAGCCCACGGCUCAACCGUGGAGGGUCAUUGGAAACUGGGAGACUUGAGUGCAGAAGAGGAAAGUGGAAUUCCAUGUGUAGCGGUGAAAUGCGUAGAGAUAUGGAGGAACACCAGUGGCGAAGGC